GACGAACGCUGGCGGCGUGCUUAACACAUGCAAGUCGAACGGAAACGCCCCGUCUGUUUGGGGUGCUCGAGUGGCGAACGGGUGAGUAACACGUGAGUAACCUGCCCUUGACUUUGGGAUAGCUUCAGGUAACUUGGGCUAAUACCCGAUAGGAGCUCCAGCUGCAUGGUGGGGGUUGGAUAGUUGCGGCGGUUGGGGGUGGACUCGGGGCUUAUCAGCUUGUUGGUGGGGUAGUCGCUUACCAAGGCUUGGACGGGUAGCCGGCCUGUGAGGGUGGACAGCGACAAUGGGACUGAGAGACGGAGCAGACGGCUACGGUAGGCAGCAGUGGGGAAUAUUGCACAAUGAGCGGGAGCCUGAUACGACGGCGCCGCGUGCGGGAAGAGGGCCUUCGCGUUGUGAACCGCUUUCGCCUGUGACGGAGCGUGAGUGACGGUAAUGUAUGAAGAAGCACCGGCUAACUACGUG
RNAcentral lists this ribosomal RNA (468 nucleotides) under uncultured bacterium. RNAcentral describes it as "partial 16S ribosomal RNA". It matches the Rfam family "Bacterial small subunit ribosomal RNA", at positions 28 to 507 of the family's 1533-position model. The record is from RNAcentral.